This 252-nucleotide ribosomal RNA is filed under the name uncultured bacterium. RNAcentral's name for it is "partial 16S ribosomal RNA". It matches the Rfam family "Bacterial small subunit ribosomal RNA", at positions 524 to 776 of the family's 1533-position model. The record is from RNAcentral.
UACGUAGGGUGCGAGCGUUAAUCGGAAUUAUUGGGCGUAAAGCGCGUGUAGGCGGCUUUGCAAGUCGGGUGUGAAAGCCCUCAGCUCAACUGAGGAAGUGCGCCCGAAACUGCAGAGCUUGAGUGCCGGAGAGGGUGGCGGAAUUCCCCAAGUAGAGGUGAAAUUCGUAGAUAUGGGGAGGAACACCGGUGGCGAAGGCGGCCACCUGGACGGUAACUGACGCUGAGACGCGAAAGCGUGGGAGCAAACAGG